CUCUUUCCACCACUUCUGCUACGAGCACCACCAUAUCUAUCACCGUCAUCGCCACCGCAACCCUCAAUACCAACACCAUCUUCUCCAAUAUUAGAUAUUUCAGAUUCAAAAAAAUUCUGUCACUACCGACGUCUUUUACUCCGGCAGAGAACUUUCUCUCCUUUUAUUAAGAUGAAUAUUUGAUUCAGAUUUUGGAGUUCGAGAGAGAUUAAUAUUUUAAUUAUGCAUUUUAUUUUUUUGUAUUAGUUUCUGGUGGUGGUAGUGGUGGUGACGGUGAUUGAAUUUAUAAAGCUAGGGUUAGGGAUUUGAGCUAUUGGUGGUGGUGGUGGUGUGGUAACUAGUUAUGAUUUUGAUUUUUGUUGGAUACUUUGAACAUGGUUAUUAGUUUUAUUAAAGGCUCGAUUGCUUAAUACAACGUCGUCGAUUUUGAUUGCUCGAUCUAAGAAGUAACUAACAUUAUUAUGGUGUUUUAAACUUGAUUCAACCAUGCACUUGAGGUGGUGGUUUUGUUGGAAUGAUAAAAUUGGUGAUGGAAAGCCUGAAAUGUUGGCUAUGGUGGGGUUAAAAUGGUUCUGGUUAUUGUUGUUGUGGUGGUGGAGAUGUGUGAUUGUUGGUGGUGGUGGUGGUGGAGAUGUGUGAUUGUUGGUGGUGGUGGUGGUGAGGUUCAAAUGAUAAAUUAGUUACGAAAAUAGUGGUGGAUGGUGGUUCUGGUUGUUGUAAUUGUGGAAAUUGGAUGUGAAUUAUUGGUGGUUCGGGAGAUGGUGAUUGUGUGGUUUCUUCAGGAUACGUAAGAAAAGAGUUGCAGUGAUGUUUCGGCCGUGAAGCACUUUUAUUGUAAUCUCUAAACAACGUUUCGUGUGCUGCUUUAGAUACAAAUUUUUGUUGUAUUUUGAAAUAAAGAAAUGUAUUAUAUGAGUGAGGGUAUUAAUGUAAUCUAAUUUGUAAUGGAUAAAGUUUUUAAAUGAUAGGGGUAUAUUUAUUUUUGUAUAA
Papaver somniferum (opium poppy) is the source of this 990-nucleotide long non-coding RNA. RefSeq lists it as uncharacterized. The record is from RefSeq and is a predicted model, not a curated record. The transcript is spliced from 4 exons. Lineage: Eukaryota; Viridiplantae; Streptophyta; Magnoliopsida; Ranunculales; Papaveraceae.